This 463-nucleotide ribosomal RNA is filed under the name uncultured bacterium. RNAcentral's name for it is "SSU rRNA". It matches the Rfam family "Bacterial small subunit ribosomal RNA", at positions 26 to 518 of the family's 1533-position model. The record is from RNAcentral.
AGGACGAACGCUGGCGGCGUGCUUAACACAUGCAAGUCGAACGAGGUGCUUCGGCACUUAGUGGCGAACGGGUGAGUAACACGUGAGCAACCUGCCCUUGGCUCUGGGAUAGCCUCCGGAAACGGGGAUUAAUACCGGACAUGACCUGCUCCUGCAUGGGGGCGGGUGGAAAGUUUUUCGGCCAGGGAGGGGCUCGCGGCCUAUCAGCUUGUUGGGGGGGUAACGGCCCACCAAGGCGACGACGGGUAGCCGGCCUGAGAGGGCGACCGGCCACACUGGGACUGAGACACGGCCCAGACUCCUACGGGAGGCAGCAGUGGGGAAUAUGCACAAUGGGGGAAACCCUGAUGCAGCGACGCCGCGUGCGGGAUGAAGGCCUUCGGGUUGUAAACCGCUUUCAGCAGGGGCGAAUUCAGACGGUACCUGCAGAAGAAGCGCCGGCUAACUACGUGCCAGCAGCCGC